This 1355-nucleotide long non-coding RNA is filed under the name Mus pahari (shrew mouse). RNAcentral's name for it is "lncRNA (MGP_PahariEiJ_G0002221.1)". The record is from RNAcentral. Lineage: Eukaryota; Metazoa; Chordata; Mammalia; Rodentia; Muridae.
GACAAGACAUGGAGGACAGACAGAGCACAGCCAUCAUCAUCGCGGCAGAGGCCCUGGUUACUCAGCUCUCCCUUCUCAAGUAGGGUGCUGAACCCAGGAAGGGCUCCCUGCUCCCAGUCGCCCUGGCAAGGCUUCAGACCUCCUCGCCCUCGGAGUCAACCCUGGGCCAGCUAGAAGCAUGCAGCUUGUAGGAAGGCAGGUCCUCCAGUUAGGGGGACCUGCAUCUCUGGGUAUGUGACCUAUCCCCACUGCAUAUGGCCUUGACCCCUGGGUUGCAGGGUACUGGAUGGGAUGGGGGAAAUUCUCUCUCCUUUUCACCUCUCAGACAAGGACCUGUAUCUGGACAUUAUAUCCUAAGAUGACUGGGAGGCCACCCUAGGUAGACCUUGAACACAGUGUGGCUCCAUCACACCUGCAGUAAGAACUACAGGAUGGGAGGGACAGAAAGAUCCGUGUGCUGAGGUCCACAUAUGCAGGUCACAGCUGGACAGCAGCUGUGAGGGCAGGGUUGUCACAGGAAGUGGCCUGUCUCCUGGCUUACUGGGAGCCUUGCAUUCUUUUUAAAGAGCUGGCUAGUUGUUUUCAUGGGGAGCCUGGGAAGCUGAGCCACCUGGUGGUCUCCAGCAGAGCCAGGACUACAUUCCAGGGGCCAGCCUGAAGCCUUGGCUUGCCCACCUCCUGUCCACAGUCCACUGGGCUUGUGGGGUGCUUCCUCAGUCAGGGCUGCAGGAGCUGAGAUACCAGCUGGGGCACACGCCCACCCUAGGUUCCUCCAUCUGGCUGCAGCAGCCCUGUCUGAGUUCCCUUCGAAGUUUAUUUUAAACUAUUUCACGUGGAAAAACUCAGCUUCCUCCUCACUAGUAGUUCCAAGAAGGUUAACCCCUUCCUCUCCAAUCUGCCUAAGUGCGGCUCCCCAAGCUGAGCCUCCCUCUUUAACAGGUCAGAGGUCAGCGCUCACCCAUCUCACUCUGUUCCCAGGUCCAGAGGAGUCAAAAGAGCUGCUUAGGACACACCACGGGGAGAGGCUUGUAGGUUUUACCAUGGCCUCCAGGCUCUGAGGGAGCUGGGCAGAGCUGGAACUUGGCAUUCACAGCCUGGAAAAACCUGAAACGGCCGGUCUUGGUUCUGUAAUCUGAACCCUUUGGGGCUGCUGUGCAGUGGCACAUCAAGUGCAAGCCCACUGCCAACAAGUCCUUCUCUUCAGAGACAUAAGAUGCUGCGAGGGUGGGGACCCGCUGCAGCCCUCACAGCGCCCUGCAAGCUGAUGGUACCCCAGCUGCCCGACACCUCUGUCGAGCACUGCCCCAUUCCUGCCUAGGCUCUCUGUAUAAUUUAGACACAGGAGACUGAAAAGC